CUUCUUUUCGUUUUCUCUCUCCUCCUGCAAAUUCUCUCGACUUCAUCUUCUUCCAUGCUUCGAUUUUCGCUGUUCCUGCAAUUCCUCACCUUCUCGCGAUUUCUUCUUUCUCAGUUCGCGCAGUGACAUGACGAGGGGAAGUAUGUACUUGGCUGCAUCAACUCCUCCUAAUGAAUAUGGUAAUCAUUCGUAUCAUAGUACCCCCUAUCCUACGGUCACGUUGCAGCUUUUGGAAGGAGAACAAGGUUCCACAGAUUUUCCCUCAAUUUUCUAUAGUGAACCGAAGCAAUCCGCAACUCGGAAAGCCUGCCACAACUCUAGGAAAUAAAACUGAACAAAGCAAAAAAGAACCAACAAGUCAACAAAAGUCAACUUUUGGCAAAUAAUAAGCUGAUUUUCUUGGGUCGGGUUCUAAUUUUUUGUAUGCUAGUUUGUGCUAUGUUAUUGGUGUUGUAAAUGCGCUACUGCUAUAUGUGAUCCUAAAGUUGACAUGCGUUGACUUUGUUUAUCUAGGUAAUAAGAGUAAUCGGGCCUUUACUUUUAUUUAUUCUAUUUAAAAAUACUA
Molecule: long non-coding RNA, 565 nt
Organism: Spinacia oleracea (spinach)
Lineage: Eukaryota; Viridiplantae; Streptophyta; Magnoliopsida; Caryophyllales; Amaranthaceae
Exons: 3
Source: RefSeq, a predicted model, not a curated record